Long non-coding RNA from Lolium perenne, 1100 nucleotides. RefSeq lists it as uncharacterized. The record is from RefSeq and is a predicted model, not a curated record. NCBI's taxonomy places the organism in Eukaryota, Viridiplantae, Streptophyta, Magnoliopsida, Poales, Poaceae.
UCGGCCUCGUCGUCCUGCCGCAGAUCUAGGCGCCCUAUUUCAUCAGCUCAUCGAACGGGGGAACCAAACCGGCUUGCUGGUGUGGAUUGGACAUUCAUUUCCCCCUCCUUCAAAGAAAAUCGCAGCUCCCUCCGGCGUAGAGAAAGAAAGAUAGAGAGAAAAACAAACAAACUGUAGCGAGAGGGUGGCCGGCCGGCCGUGUCGCGCGCAGCUGCAGCAGCCUUGCAGCGGAGGAGGAAGCCAGGAGCUCUGGGGGGAAGGAAGCGCAUGGAGGAGAGAGUGAAAAGUGGAGGCGAAGUUGAGGAGGAAGAGACGAGGGUAGCAGAAAGGAGGCUUGUGGUGUCCCCACCCCCGAGUUGAGGGGAAGCGAGGGGUGGUGGGAGGAGGAGGAUCUCCUCUCACGUCAAAGGUGGGGGAAAGCAUAAAGGCUGAGGGAGGAGGUGGAGGUGGAAGAGAAGGUGGGGAGAGGGGGCAGCUACACAGGCCCAAAGCAGGGGUAAGUGGAGGAAAGCGAGCUGCAGGGAAGAAAGGCAGGCAAGCUUCGCAGCGAGAGCAAGGGAUACUGAGCUCGUGUGAGUGAGUGAUAAGUAGCCGAGCUGAGAGCAUCCGGUUCUUGCUCCACCACCACUACCACAUUGCUCCUCUCCCUUUCCACUUCAUUGCCCAUCCACUAUAUUUAGAGUGUCAGUGGAGCCGAAGAAGAGGAGGAGGAGGUGGUGCCCUGCUCUGCCAAGCCAUGGCAUUGCAAGAACAAGGCGGAGAGGAGGACGGGGAUGAAGACGAAGACGCUGAAGAGGAGGAUUGGAUGACGAAGAGGGUGCUGGGGAGCUGAUCGAUUUCUCCCCUGGCACCGAGGCGUUCGUGGUGUCUGCUCUGGAGUAGUAAGAUAUUGGCACAAUAGGCUCAAUCACUUUUUCUUUCUUUUCUUCCUUUUAUUUCCCCCGGCCCUUGUUUUGCUGUUUUUGCUCUUCUUUCCACUCUCUUGGAUCCAUUGAUUGCAUACUCUUCCCCGUGUAAUUUUCUUCUUGGUCCUGUGCUACCGCUAUUGGUGUUUUCCCUGAUUCGGAAUGGAAGGGGAAAAGGAGUUUGGCGACACAAAA